UACUCCUACGGGAGGCAGCAGUGGGGAAUAUUGGACAAUGGGCGAAAGCCUGAUCCAGCCAUGCCGCGUGUGUGAAGAAGGUCUUCGGAUUGUAAAGCACUUUAAGUUGGGAGGAAGGGCAGUAAGUUAAUACCUUGCUGUUUUGACGUUACCAACAGAAUAAGCACCGGCUAACUUCGUGCCAGCAGCCGCGGUAAUACGAAGGGUGCAAGCGUUAAUCGGAAUUACUGGGCGUAAAGCGCGCGUAGGUGGUUCAGCAAGUUGGAUGUGAAAUCCCCGGGCUCAACCUGGGAACUGCAUCCAAAACUACUGAGCUAGAGUACGGUAGAGGGUGGUGGAAUUUCCUGUGUAGCGGUGAAAUGCGUAGAUAUAGGAAGGAACACCAGUGGCGAAGGCGACCACCUGGACUGAUACUGACACUGAGGUGCGAAAGCGUGGGGGGCAAACAGGAUUAGAUACCCUGGUAGUCCACGCCGUAAACGAUGUCGACUAGCCGUUGGGAUCCUUGAGAUCUUAGUGGCGCAGCUAACGCGAUAAGUCGACCGCCUGGGGAGUACGGCCGCAAGGUUAAAACUCAAAUGAAUUGACGGA
This 591-nucleotide ribosomal RNA is filed under the name uncultured bacterium. RNAcentral describes it as "bacterial SSU rRNA". It matches the Rfam family "Bacterial small subunit ribosomal RNA", at positions 334 to 917 of the family's 1533-position model. The record is from RNAcentral.